GACCCAAAAAAACAGUCUCUCUCUUUCUUCAUUUUCCUUUUUUAAUAUUUUUUAUAUUCUCCAUGGUACAAUCAUUGGAAGACUCGUCAUCAAGAACCAGAUCGCAGAGUACAACUCUGCACAGAAACUUCCAACGUUCCUUAUCCCCUUCAGGUCGAUUCUGCUCCUCGUCAAUCUCUAAUUCCUCUACACCUUACGUGUCGACCAGGGCCGAAUCAUUCAUGACCCGGCCUUCUAGCCCGACUCGAGUCAAUAUCCGCAGAUCCGUUUCCCCUUCUCCUACCGUAAGGUUCUCUACCUCACACAGCCACUCAAUCGCAUCUUCACAUAAUCGGCAUGGAAAUCAGGGUGCCCAUGCCCGGCUGUUUAAUUCAUGUCCAAAGAAGACGUGUAUGUGUUCCCCGACGACGCACCCGGGGUCCUUCCGGUGCAGUCUACACAAGAACAACAAUAGAAGCCGUGGCUACGCUAGUGAUAGCCAGACUUCUUUUCGGUCGAGCCACCAUUUAAAUAUGCGGAGAUCGGCGAUGACGAAUUCUCUGGUUAGAAUCGGAACUGUCGAAGGAGAUUUAGUGAAGAGAGCUCUAGCGGCUUUGAUUCGACCUUCGUCACAUCAUCUGCGCCGCCGUGACGAUUUCCAGCCGCGACCGAGCCGACUCUCGAUCAUGUCCAAAGCUCAAGAUUGAAUUCUAUGUUUCGGCGCGUGUUUUGUAUAGUUCCCAGUAUGGUUGAGCCGCGGUUUUGAAGAAGUUGCCAUUUGAAUGAGUGAUUUUACUUUCAUGAUUUCUCUUUUAUUAAUUUUUUNAAAAAAAAAUGUUAACAACAGUAAUCAGAAUAUCUGAAUUAGUCAGUAAACUAGAAAUUAAUUGAAAAUAAGAACUAAUAGAAGCAAACGCACCGUUAUCAUUUUUCGAGUUGAUUUCUUUCUUCUUCUUCUUUUUAUUUUAUUUUAUUUUUCUAAAUUCUGGAUUGUGUUGUGAAUUGAAUGUCGUUUUGCGAUUUUGCAGUGAUUUUUAGAAUUUCAAAUUUGUAGAUAAUCAAUCAAUCCACAUCUGGGAUUUAUGCAUCAGCAUCAGUUGCUACUCAAACAGGUGACUUGGGAUAAUCGUUUUCUUUUCCUUCCUUUUUUUCCAAACAUAGUAUUAUUGAAUUUUCUGCUUUAUUUUGUACGUCCUUUUUGACCUUUAUAUUCAGCCCCUGUUUGAUCCCAAUUUUGUGAAAAUAGAAAUGGAUGAAAUAAUAUAUUUUUUUGAAAAAUAAUUGGUUAAAAGUGAAGGAAAAUUUUUCAAUUUACGUGUAAUAUUAUUUUAAAAAAAUAUUGUGUGGUUGAAAAUAAAAAAUAAAAAAAAAUAUAUAAUGGAAUUGAAAUUAAUUGGAGGCAAAUGGUCUUUAAUUGUAGGUACACCUGGG
This 1410-nucleotide long non-coding RNA is filed under the name Olea europaea subsp. europaea. The record is from RNAcentral. Lineage: Eukaryota; Viridiplantae; Streptophyta; Magnoliopsida; Lamiales; Oleaceae.